This 388-nucleotide transfer-messenger RNA is filed under the name Phormidium tenue FACHB-886. It matches the Rfam family "transfer-messenger RNA". Rfam says of the family: Bacterial tmRNA, also known as 10Sa RNA or SsrA, is named for its dual tRNA and mRNA-like properties. Its role is to liberate the mRNA from a stalled ribosome. RNAcentral also lists the same sequence under 1 other name. Lineage: Bacteria; Bacillati; Cyanobacteriota; Cyanophyceae; Oscillatoriales; Oscillatoriaceae. The record is from RNAcentral.
GGGGCUGUAACGGUUUCGACGUUUUGGCGAACGAGACUUUGUGAUGCAGGUCGAGAGUGAGUCUCCUCUCGCAAAUCCAAGGCUCAAACAGUGUACAUGCGAACAACAUCGUACCCUUUGCUCGUAAGCAAGCACUAGUUGCUGCCUAAAAACCUCUCAUAGGUUCGAGCUUCUGCAGUUUGACUCCGUUAAGGACUGUGGAACUACCCCCAACGGAUGCUUCAGCUAGCCACCUCUGGUUGGCUACUGACUAAGACUUUACCAGAGAAUCCCAUCGCUUGGGAUAAGAGGCGAUCCCCGCUUCGAGGGUAACCGAAGCUAAACCUGUGAAUGAAUGGAGUCCUAAUAACCAUGGCGGACACGGGUUCGACUCCCGUCAGCUCCAUGA